Molecule: long non-coding RNA, 3081 nt
Organism: Oreochromis niloticus (Nile tilapia)
Lineage: Eukaryota; Metazoa; Chordata; Actinopteri; Cichliformes; Cichlidae
Exons: 3
Source: RefSeq, a predicted model, not a curated record
GCUCAUUGUCAUCAGUGAUUUGUGCUGCGUUUGCAUUUGGACACAACAGGAGCUGCAAGGAUACCAGACCACAAAAAGCAACACAUUCUACCGCCGGCGUACCUUUGACCAACUAUUGUCCCUCAUUUUAAGGUCUUGUCCAGGACGGAGCGCAGAGGUGGAGAAAGGCCUGACGGGCAGCAACGGCGUCAAAGUGCUCGGAUCAGGGCUACUUGGAUUUUCAUCAGGAACCUGUUUGAAGGACUGAGCUCCAAGAUCUGAGGAGAAGCAAGCAGUGCUGCUCAUCAGGAGUGCUGCAGAUAUGCCAAAUCAGCCGCUGCUUCCAGCCCCAACCAUCAGUCUCAAAGCGGCAGUCACAGGUGAGAGCUCUCUGUACGUGUGACUCUAGAAAAUCCUGCCUGUUGUGCUGUGAUAACACAUGAUAUUUUCUUGAAAGAGGAUGCAGUUGUCAAAUCCAUGAGCCAUGGAAUCCCUUCUUGGCACCUUUAGAAAGGAACCGAGCUUUAACUGGGCAUCACUGAAACCUGCUUCCUUGGACUUGGAUCAUACACUGUAAUGCUGUAAUCUUCUCAACAAACUGUGAAGAAACACUGCAUAAAGGUCAUGAAAAGCCUUCAAGCGUGUCCUGGUAUGUUGGUGAGACAUGCAUCUAUACUGUUAGAGUAAAAACACCUGGAAAUACACUUUCAAAGCUGCGUAUGUGUAUUUCUUCAUAUGUAAUGUGCUGUGACUUUUGGUGCCACUGACUGCACAGACGUGUCUGUAGUUUGAGAUAUUUCCCCCGUGAGCUCAGGGUCACAGGCUCCUCGCCAAGGAAAUUUGUUCGGAAAAGGCUGGCAUCUUCUCAUAUGUUCUCGCUUUUAUCAGAUGACCUUAAAGUCAUAAAAUUAGAAAACUGUCAAGAAUAGAAAUUUUAAUUUUAAGUCUCAUAGCUGGUCGCAAAAUUGCAAUAUAUUAUGCAAUAAUGACGUCAAGACAUAGAUUAAUUAUGCAUUCAGUCAAAUUACAGGCAAUUUGUGUUAAAUACAUUCUUUCGCCUAUUUUGAAACUGUUGUGCAUUCAGUACAAAUCAAUAUCACUGCAGUAAUUAGUUUUGUAGGCAGAAGAAAAUAUAAUCAUACACUCGCAUUAAGGUUUAAAAUGUUUCCAAUCUGUACUUGUCUGUGCAUUUAUAUUAUAGCGAUCAAUACAGCACCAGUGAGAAUGUAACCCAGAACAUUUAAUGGCUGUAGCAUUAAAGUACUGAACCACAGUCUGAUUUUAAGGUACCUGCUUAACUUAUAUAUAUAUAUACACCAAACAUGCUUUCUGCCAUUUCCACUUUACUUUCCAACUGCAGGCCAAUGGCUGAAUAUUAAUUCUUACACCUCCCUUUAGAAUUCCUACAGGCUCAUUAUUAUAGUCUAUAAAACAGACUAGAUGAUGAAAUGUCCCGUUAACCCUUUCACAUCUCCUGCAGUUCUACCAGCCUACUAGUGGUUGAUCUUGACGUUACACUCUUACAAUUAAGAAUCUUCUCCAGGUCAUCGCGCUGAUGGUUCUACCGCCCAGACACUGUAAUCGUGGAGGAGCUAUGAGGGAAACAACAGGGUUUCAGUGUUGGAGCUGUUAGGGCAGUCACUAUAAGGAAUGUGAGGCGUUUGCACAAUAAGAUGGACAAGCUUGGAGCGCUGAUUGAGCCCCAGAGGGAGCAACAUGAGUGGAGUUUGAUGUGCUUCGUGGAGCACUUCGGCGCUGCAGUAAGAUGGUGUCACACUCACACUUUCUGGACGAGUGUGAUUGUGGCAGACCGGGGCACUAACCUGAACAUGAAGAACAAAUGGAGCCAUUACACUAGGUGUGUUGUGUAAUUCCUGACAUGUUACCAGGGAAGGAUAUUUCUGUGGCCUGAAUAUUGAACUGCUAGCUACUGAAACGAUCCACGUUACUGCAGAGGGAAUUCAUCGUUGCUGUUGCAACUUGAUUCCAGUUUGAAUCAACACUUUGGAUUCCCCCAUCAGCUGAUGCAGAACUCAUCCAAAUGACUACCUGUGGUGAAUGCAUGGAUGCGGAUAAUGAGUGGAGUCAGACUGUCCUCUGCACCAUGUACUGGAUGUGCAUACAUAAAAAUCUCCCUAUCGUUUCAUUUUAGAUUUGAUUUAAUUGAGGUCUUCAUUUUUUUUGUAUUUUCUGUUAAUUUGCUACUGUAACUCUUGAGAUAAAUGAAGUAUUUAUUUUAAAAACAUGCAAGGAUACAGUUUCACAAUCAAGCCAGAAUCAGACUUAUUUUAUUUGAUCUUAGGUUUAACUAUUAGCUGGAGUAGACGGCAGAAUUCAGCCAACUGUAUUAUGUUUCCUUUCCCCUCUCGAUUUAAGUGCAUAAUCCUGGCUACUGUCAUCACUGUAAGGAAAACAACCCUGAAUGCUGUAGGUCUGCCGUUUACCUCAGCUGGUGUCCACGGCUAUUUACUCGAGAGGAGUCCGAUACAACUCGAUGUGUCACAUGUUGAGUGGAAAAAUGAUGUGGAUCCAAAAUGCAGAAUUAUUUAACAGAAGGCAAAGCGUUAGUUAGGUUUGGCUGAAGUUUAAAAAAGCAGCAGAAAGCAAAGAGCACAGAUUUAAACAGAAGAGAUACUGAGGACAACAGGAACACAGUAAAGGACAGCAGAUGUCACGACUGCAGGCACAACUCCAGGGCUGAAUACUGAAAACACACAAGCUGAUUAGGGGAAUAGAGAACAGGUGGGUACACAAACAGGUGCAACAAAUCAAGGAAAAAAAGAUAAGUAAAACUAAACAAGAGAAAAAAGCCUACCAAAAUAAAACAGGAAGUAACAGAAGAUGGAACAUUUACUCUUGGCAAUAAAAUACAGGAAACACAGGCACGCUAACUGAAACUAUGAGCAGAACCCAAAUAACCACAGCAAAAAAGGCCUGAGAAUGUAAAUAUAAAGAAACCAACAAGGAAAUACCUGUAAAAGGUACAAAACUAGGUCAUUACAACCAGCUGAGGGUAACUAAGUGCUGCUGUUAGCUAGGGCUGUGCGAUAUGACCAAAAUCUCAUAUCCCGAUAUUAAGACAUCUAUCGUCCGAUAACGAUA